This 76-nucleotide transfer RNA is filed under the name Burkholderiaceae bacterium. RNAcentral's name for it is "tRNA-Glu". It matches the Rfam family "tRNA". From Rfam's summary of the family: Transfer RNA (tRNA) molecules are approximately 80 nucleotides in length. Their secondary structure includes four short double-helical elements and three loops (D, anti-codon, and T loops). The record is from RNAcentral. Lineage: Bacteria; Pseudomonadati; Pseudomonadota; Betaproteobacteria; Burkholderiales; Burkholderiaceae.
GGUCCCAUCGUCUAGAGGCCUAGGACACCGCCCUUUCACGGCGGUAGCACGGGUUCGAAUCCCGUUGGGACUGCUA